RNAcentral lists this ribosomal RNA (423 nucleotides) under uncultured bacterium. Its description in RNAcentral is "partial 16S ribosomal RNA". It matches the Rfam family "Bacterial small subunit ribosomal RNA", at positions 360 to 774 of the family's 1533-position model. The record is from RNAcentral.
AAUCUUCCGCAAUGGACGAAAGUCUGACGGAGCAACGCCGCGUGAGUGAUGAAGGUCNNNGGAUCNUNAACCUCUGUUGGUAGNGANNAACAAGUAUCGUUCGAAUAGGGCGGAAACUUGACGGUACGUAACCAGAACGCCACGGAUAACUCCGUGCCAGCAGCCGCGGUAAUACGUAGGUGGCAAGCGUUAUCCGGAAUUAUGUGGCGUAAAGCGCGCGCAGGCGGUUUCUUAAGUCUGAUGUGAAAGCCCGCGGCUCAACCGUGGAGGGUCAUUGGAAACUGGGAAGCUUGAGUGCAGAAGAGGAGGGUGGAAUUCCAUGUGUAGCGGUGAAAUGCGUAGAGAUAUGGAGGAACACCAGUGGCCAAGGCGACUCUCUGGUCUGCAACUGACGCUGAGGCGCGAAAGCGUGGGGAGCGAACA